CUACGGGGCGCAGCAGUUAGGAAUAAUCUACAAUGCGCGCAAGCGUGAUAGUUUGAGCCAGAGUGUUUUUCUAUUUGAAAAGCUUUUGCCGAAUGUAAAAAGUUCGGCGAAUAAGGACUGGGUAAGACGAGUGCCAGCCGCCGCGGUAAUACUCGCGGUCCAAGUCGCAGCCAUUUUUAUUGGGUCUAAAACAUCCGUAGCUUGCUUGAUAAGUUUCCUGUGAAAUCCGGCUUCUUAAGAGUUGGGCGGGCAGGAAGUACUGUUAAGCUAGAGACUGGGAGACGUAAGAAGUACGUUUAAAGUAACGGUAAAAUGUGUUAAUCUUAAACGGACUCACAACAGCGAAGGCAUCUUACGAGAACAGUUCUGACAGUCAGGGAUGAAGGCUAGGGGCGCAAAACGGAUUAGAUACCCCUGUAGUC
This 422-nucleotide ribosomal RNA is filed under the name uncultured archaeon. RNAcentral's name for it is "partial 16S ribosomal RNA". It matches the Rfam family "Archaeal small subunit ribosomal RNA", at positions 323 to 746 of the family's 1478-position model. The record is from RNAcentral.